This 4806-nucleotide long non-coding RNA is filed under the name Fragaria vesca (wild strawberry). Its description in RNAcentral is "long non-coding RNA (FVES_LNC001396)". The record is from RNAcentral. Lineage: Eukaryota; Viridiplantae; Streptophyta; Magnoliopsida; Rosales; Rosaceae.
UUUUUUUUUUUUUUGCUUUUUAAAAGUAAUAAAUUUUUCUUUUGCUUUUCUGUUAUAUAAAAAGAAUAACGAAAAUAUAAAAUCAAGGGCAAAUUAGGAAUUUUACUUUAAAAUAUGGCUGCCGUCAGUCAAUUUUAACAGAGCUGACGUCACUAGACACCAUUCUUUAGUCGGGUUAAGAAUGUGAGAUACUGUUUUGAUGUUUUAUAAAGUUGAGAUACCAAAGUUUUGUUUCUUUAAAAGGUUAGACACUAUUUGGACUAUUCUUCCAAUUGUAUUUAUAGUGCACUUCCAAUUUUUGUACACAUUUUUAGCCUUGUCGUCCAACCACUUCCACAUGAGCUUAUCAUCAACAUCAAACUCAUAAAAGAUCUGUUAAAAAAUGAACAACAUUAUUUAUCUCAUAAUUCUACAACUAAUUAAGCAUUGAGUGAACACAUGAACAGCAGAAAAAGUCCUUACAAAGAGUUUAGUGGGCAGCUUCUUUUGCUCAUCAUCGGUAGUGUCACCCCAAGUUAGAGCCACCAUGGAAAUUUCAUCCCAUAUAAUGUGGCCGACAUCGUGUGUCAACAUGCUGCUUAACUUUUUACUCUUCGGACCGUGGCAGAAAUCGUCCCAAGUUACUUUAAUCUUUUGUCCAGUCCUCUUGACUAUCUCCUCUGCUUUUAAGCCUUUUACCACCCUUGUCUUGGUUUUAGGGGGAGGUGCUGCAAAAAAAAAAAAAGUUUCUGUCAAAACCAAAUGCAAAAGAAACAAACGAUCAAUAAGUGAAGAGACCGGUGCAAUAUGAAAACAUGUUUGGUAGGUCAAGAUGUAGUUCAUGCAACAAAAAAAGAUGGAUACGUUGCAAUAUGUGAAGCACCAGUUAUGAAUUUAUGAACUACUUUGAUGCAUAUUCUAAUCUCUUUUUCCACAUUUUAUAAAUCAAUAUACCAAAGUUAAAUAUCCUAUAGCUUAGACACUCUCUCUUAAGCCUAUGUCUAAGUAAGUCCACAAUGUGCAUAACAGAGCAAAAAGUAAAAUAGAAUAAGAGAAGAACCAAGCAAUUCCAUAUAAGAUGACACCACAUGUAGCGGAUAACAAAUGACAGUAGCCUUAUCCAAAAUUUAUUCCAAAAUAUGCAUGUUAAAAUCCAUGAAAUUGCAUUAAGAAUGCAUAAAAUGCAGUUUUGUUACAAAACCACUAGGGAACUUGGUUUUUAUUUCCACUGAUUCUCAUUCACCAAUCACACAAGUCGAGGUCUCCUAGGGAUAACAGAAUUGAGCAGCUACCGUUUCUAAAUGAAUUUGCCGAUAACCAACACCACCUCAAUGUAUAAAAAUAUUAAUGCAUACAAGAACCAACGCCAUGAUCUACAAUAUCAUAGCUAUCCCCCCGAUCAAAGCAUAUUAAUUUCUAAAGCUUAAGAUCUAACACUGGCUAAAAGCUCACUGACUCCUACACAAGCAAAACAAAAUCCUUCCGAAAUAUACACAUAAUCCAUGAACACCAUCCUAAUAAAACGCAAUUUGGUGUUAUCAUCAAAAACAUGACUUUAUGAUAAUAAUAACAAGGGACAACAAUACUCAGAAACCAAUAUCCAAACCAAUACUCAUUCCAAACCAAUAUCCAAAAUUUACUCAUUCCAAGACUCAUUCACUACACAAAACCUAGAAACCAAUAUCCAAAAUUUACUACACCCAACUAGAAAAUCAAAAGGUUAAGAGGCAGAGAUGAGUAUAGGUGAGGAAAAUUACCUCCUUCAGGAUGCGGUUUGCGCCGAACACUGAUCUUGGCAGAUGACUGGCCAGUCCAAUGAUCAUCUGGGGAAGGUUCGUCAACAUCGGGCAGUGGUGGAGGGAGAGGAGGAGCCGAACUUGACGGAGGCGCCAUAGGCCGCGAGGGGACCUCUGUGGGGCGUCGAUAUUGCUGGGCUACCUCCUGCAUCAGUCGCUGAGACUGUUCCGCCUGUCUCUUCCUCUUCCCACUAGUCGGCAGCAUAGUGGAUGGAUGUGGCGCAAGGGAGGAGACGGCUUGGAAUCGAAGGAGGAGACGGCGAUGUGGAGGAGGAGGAUACGAUCGAUUUAGGGAUUUCAGAGUUAAGACUCGUUACCCGGCCUCUAUCUGGGUUUACAAACCAAACUCAGCCCACGAAUGAAGCCUUUUCGUCAUUUAAGUGAAAUCAAAAAUUUGGCCCAAAAAAUUGGCGGAAUUUACGACCCGCCAAAUAUUAAGUAGUUAGGUGACGAAUACAUGAACUUUUGUCAUCUCAGUGAACCAAAAAUAUUUCUACCAUCUUCAAAUUUUGGGACUUAGUUGACGAAAACCUAAAAAUUAAGGUUUUCAUAGAAGUUUUGGAAAUAAUGAGGUAUCUCCUAAAAAGAAAUAGUUUUGAUACAAGGAUUUUUCUUUUUUUCCUAAAAAAUACAUUUGACAAUACAAUACAAAUGUCAUUAAAGAAAUUAUAAAUUAAAGAGUGAUAUAUAUAGAACAUAUGGCGAUAGAGAUUGAAGAACAGAUCGAUCGAAAUAAGUCCAAACCCGGUUUGCUCUAGAUUUGGCAUUCGGUGUCCGAUUGACUAUUAUGAUGCCUUUCUGGAAGCGGAACGGCCCAACGAAUCAAACUCGUCACUUUGCCACGAUGUAUGGGCUUUUUAGGCCAUCCGAGUCCGUUUAGGCUUUCAAAAUGCAGAUUUACUUAUUUUCAGGCAUUAUUUUUAAUAGUUUGUUUUGGAUUUGGUUUUCUUUUAAUCCAUGGGCUUUUAGGCUUUGAUGUUAGUUGCCCUUAGGGUUUAUUUACUCCUAUAUAAGGAGCCUUUAUCAAAAGUUGUAAUCGUCAACUUUCAUAUUAAUAAAAAACCUUGAGUUUAAAGUAUUACACACUCAAUUUAUGUCAUAUUAAAAAAUAUCAUUCAUUAAAAGAAAUUAACAUAAGCCAGACAUCAUUGACAUCAUAAUCCUCAUCCUCUGUAUCAUCGUCCUCUUCGUAUUCGUCUUUGUCUUCCUCUUCAUCCUCCUCAUAAUGCGGCUCUUCAUCUUCGCUCUCAUCUUCAUCCUCCUCAUUGUCAACAUGUGGAACUUGAGAUCCAGGAAUUGUAAUGAACGCAUUCCCGUGUACAUAGUGGGGGUCAUUGUUGAUGCGAAUAGUCUGUGUAUCUGGAAUAUAACUGCUUAACUCUUCUUGAUAUGGUUCUGGCACCUCUUCUUCAUCACAUGCUCCUUCUGCAUCCCCUUCAAGCGUAGAUGCACUCCAUAUGUUUCGGUGCAUGAGACAUCACAUUUACCACUUUCCAAUCCCCACCCUCUUUCGGAUCAUCAAGAUAAAAUACUUGUUUUGCCAUGGUGGUAAGAAUAAACGGCUCACUCACAUACCAGCUUGUGGAUGUAUUCACUGAUAAAAAUCCAUGAUCCAUCUUUGUACUCCUCGGUAAACUUGGGUCAGUGUUGAACCAUUUACACUUGAACAACACGACUGGCAUACCAGCUCCAUAUAAUAAUUCGACAACAGAGAGUAUGAUCCUGUAGUAGCAAAUUUCAUUGUAACACCCUGACCCAGGUGUUAGGAAAAAUAAACGAAUAAAAUAACUAAGAAAAUCCUAAAUCAAAACGGUGGUAGGACCUCAAAACAAAAAAAAUGUUUGUUGUGUUUGGAACCUAAAUUUAUUUUGUUAAUUUGCGGCUGCACCCAAAACUUGAUUGAGCUGCCUACUUCCCUUUUUAAAGGGAUCAAACCACUCGUAGUUCAUCAUUUUAUACUAAUUCUCCACCUUCAAUAACAACUUUAUCGAAUCUGAAAUUUGUGUGGAUGUAAGUCCUCAAAUUGAUAAGGACACCCAAGUUCUCAAUCCCACACUUCCUCUCACUUCCUCCGAUAGUUUCCUAAUUACAUACCAUGCUCGCUCAUAUUAACUUCAUUGUCACAUUCCAAUUCACCUUUAGACUUGCUCAUAUCAACACUUCAAUUAUUAACCUAUCUCUGAUUUUACUAUAGACACCCAUAACCACCACUCAUCAACUUUCCUAACAUUAUACUAAAUCCAAAUUUAAGUAUAAUCACUACCACCACCAUUGUGAACACCGAAUACUCCUUUCCUAAUUUCACACAGUCCUUAACUCCAUGCUUUCAUCAAGAUAAUGAACUCACCAUCACAACCCCAUCUUCUUCUUGUUGACCAACAACUUAACCAAAUUAACAAGGAAUAAAAUAAAUGAAUCCAGUACAGCAACUUCAAACUUCCUCCACAACCCAACUAUUCUAAUUCCAAAAACAUGUCUAUUAUGAUCAGCACACCCUGCAAAUGAUCCUAAUUCUUCAAUUCACAGCAGCUGAAGUUAAACACAACAACACCAUAGUCACCACCGUGAAUAGUUACUUCAUUGCUGGAAUCCCACUAUUUCCAAAUUCUCAAAUUCAUGGAACUCCAACAUAUAUAGCAGUCAUAAUCAUACACACAGAUUCAUAACUACUGAAAAUAAUCACACACAGAAGAACCAAGAAUACUGCAGUAAACGAUGUCUGCCAUCUCCACAAAUUGACCAAUUCCAAAAACAUCAUAAUCAUCAAUUUAAUUUCAAAAAGAAGUUCCAUAAAACCAAUGAACUAAGGCAGCCCAAAAUCACCACCACCGCCGCCGUGCACAGCGGCACUCACGGCGGUCCUCCUCUGCCAAAAACCCAACUUCCUCCAAACUUCAACCAAUCUCAAUUCCAAUUAUAUAAAAAAGGUAGAGCUCGACGAGAUGAUCAAGUUUCAUACCUCACUUAUCUUCGCCGGUGGCCGGAAAGCAUCAAACCCUCGCAAGAAAAUCCCAAAACUUCUUCUCUUCGA